This is a non-coding RNA of Peromyscus maniculatus bairdii (prairie deer mouse), 1021 nucleotides long. The record is from RefSeq and is a predicted model, not a curated record. NCBI's taxonomy places the organism in Eukaryota, Metazoa, Chordata, Mammalia, Rodentia, Cricetidae.
UGUGUACACACAAGGAAGACCACGUGGCUGUGUGAGGGAGGAGACAGAGAGGAGGCAGCCAUCUGCACGCCAAGGGGAGUAGCUUUAUUUCCUAUUACCUCUUUGAUCUUGGACAUGAAGCCCCAGAACGAUUCAUUUUUGGACUCUUGCUACUUCCUCUCGUUAGCGUGUACUGCUCCAACCAUGACUGCCAACUAUUGACCAAGUGUGACAUUUCCACCUGAUAGUUCUAUCGUUUGGUGACAAGUUGAGGGUGGCACCAAGAAGUUGAACUUACAAAAGAAUUUAGCCUUCGCUCAGCCAGCUGGAAAGAGGUGUCACUGGUGCUGCCAUCGUGAAAUUGGGAUCACAGGAAACUACACUGUCUAUGAAAGCUAGAUGCUUGGGUGGACUAGAAGAAGCAGAUGAGAAAGUGAUGAGUUCCCUGCUCACACUGCCCCGAUUACAACUGAGCCAAGACUUGCAGAGGAGAGUCACAAGAUGCCCUUGAGAAAGUUCCUUUAUUAUCCCCUGGCUUGGUUUCUUUUUCUUCUCUACAAAGUCAGAAGUUCAUGUUGAUGCCUGAUGAUGAGUUCGUAGACAAAAGACAGAAGUGAAGACCCAGGCUUUGAGUCUCAGCUGGAUUCUUGGCAUAUAUCCCUCAUCACAUCCCAUUUAUAAAGUAAGGACACUGAUGUUUGCUGAAUCUACCUCCCUUGGUUGAGAUAAUGCACCCGAAAUGCCUGACACACUUUAAAAAACUUAGUUCCAGUCCAUCAACUCAGGACCAGAACUGCCCUGAACAUAAUCCCACUCUUUUCCAGCAAUUUAAGAGAAUCAGUGGCUAGGGGGAACAAACCUGGGCACUGUCAUGAAAUCUCACAGGGGCCAAACACACAAACACUGUCCUCAUGACAACAGCCAUGAAAUAGGUAAGGUUGAAGCAAAAGUCUGGGCUGGCCACAGAAACCCUGCAUUUCCUUGUUUUAUUUGUAAAGCUCACUGCUAAAUGCUAAGGAAAAUAAAUUGAUUUCCAUCUUUA